GUCCGCCUAGCUGAGGCGCGCAGGCAGCAGCCGUUGCUGCGACGCCUCUGGUGUACUAAAUCUGGAGGGGAGGUUGGGCUGUCCAAGAGAAGAAGACCCUCGAACCUUGGCUAAUGGCGACGUUUGCAGAGGCCGCCUAACGUUCUGCCACUUCAUUGGAAUCAGCCUCCGCCCUUCUCAACUCCUGGCUGCUGCGGGGCCAAUGGUGCCGGGAGACGAGGGCGCUCAGGCACGGUUCUAACAGUCUGGGAUCUCUCCUGUGAGGAGGCAUGCCCGCUGCCUUGUUGCAGAGGCCUCAGGGGUAAAGAAUCAAGACCCACCCAGCGUGACAAAUAAACCCGGACUCUCAGCAACGCAGAAAGAAACCAGCUGGCGACUUGGGGGAAAGGAUCCUCACAUACCGCUGUGACCAGGUAACUCUGUGCACAUACCAAGCCUAGUCAGUGUAAAGACAAUGAGGAUGAAGACCUCUAUGAAGAUGACUUCCACUUAAUGAAUAGUUUUUGGAGCUACUGCGUGGUGAACAAGAACACAUCUGUGUGCUGGAAGGGUGGUGCAUUCCAAACUCCACAAGGACAGAAGCUCCUGUGCUCAGGACCCGUCCAUACCUUGCCCUAUGUACCCCUUCAUCUGGCUGUGCAUCUGUAUCCUUUAAUAUAUCCUUUGCAAUA
Molecule: long non-coding RNA, 671 nt
Organism: Symphalangus syndactylus (siamang)
Lineage: Eukaryota; Metazoa; Chordata; Mammalia; Primates; Hylobatidae
Source: RefSeq, a predicted model, not a curated record